RNAcentral lists this long non-coding RNA (1029 nucleotides) under Homo sapiens (human). Its description in RNAcentral is "non-protein coding lnc-VIP-1:7". The record is from RNAcentral. Lineage: Eukaryota; Metazoa; Chordata; Mammalia; Primates; Hominidae.
CCUUCCGCCGUCUUCUGGACCGGCCUCCUGCAAGUCCUAAUCUCAGCCCAAAUUCAGCGCUGGCUUCCAUCUGGAGAUCUUUGAUGGGUACAAAUGGUAGCCGACUUUCUUCGAUCAUCUCUCGAACGGGAGUUCGCACACAAUACUGAGACCAGAAUAAAGCAGUGCAUUUACUACCUUGUGAAGAAUGUUCAGGUGUUCAGUGGGCUUGAUCCAGUCAGGUGAAGGUCUGAAGAGAAAAAAAGACCGUCCUCUUCCCAGAACAAGAGAAUCCUCCAACAGAUACCUUUGGACUGGACCUUGCACCAUCAGCUUUCCUGGGUUUCCAGCCUCCUGCCUCACACUCCAGCUUUUGGACUUGUUAGACUUAAUAAUAACAACACAAGCCAAUCCUUUUAAGGAAGUUUGUCUGGAGAAUCUUGACAAACACAAACAUCUACUGAGAGUUCCUGUCCAAGUUUUGCUCACACCCUAGCAAGAGGCUUCUGGCUUACCAGUUGGGAGUGUGAGGUUCUUUGCUUGUAAGACCUGAUCCACCAGCGGUACACCAGCUCUGGCCCAGGGCAAGACAGGGAAUUUCCCAAUCACUGAGUAGGCUGUAGCCACUCUCUCCAUUAGGCCUGACUUCACCAUGGGGAAGGGGAGACCCUUUCAAGGGUAUUCUUUCCUGGGGUACUCUCAGUCCUAGGACAUCAUAGCUCUCUUUCAUCCCUCUUAAAAGUUAAUACCAUUAUCAGUUAACAGUUUUUAUAUUAAAAUUAUCCCUGUUCAAGUUAAUGGUAUGGUUUCUGUAUCCUGACUGGAUAUUAGGAUACAGUAUUUACUGUCUUAUUUCUACUACUUUAUGUUUAAAGUUUUUCAUAAUAUUUAAACUGAAGUUUUGAUCAUUCAUUAAAUAUUUACACAGAACAGGACAAAGGAUGAUUUUCCUUUGUCUAGUUAUUGUAAGGUAGCGUCCAAGAUUUACCACCACAUCAUGAUUACAGAUGGUCACCAACUUAUGUUUUAGGAUUUUUUGACUUUAUGAUG